RNAcentral lists this long non-coding RNA (1696 nucleotides) under Homo sapiens (human). RNAcentral's name for it is "HSALNT0386149". The record is from RNAcentral. Lineage: Eukaryota; Metazoa; Chordata; Mammalia; Primates; Hominidae.
CCCCAGGAAGCAUGAGAGGGUUUCAAGCAGCAAGGGCAUGGAAGUAACUUGGUGAGAUAUUUUUAUGCAUUAGAUCAUCGCUCUAUCUGGAUUCCAGAGGGUCUCUGAGAGAGCAAACAGCUUAAUCCAAAGGAGCGGCUUUCCAACUGGGAAUGUCCCCCUGGCUGGGUGAGAUCUCAAGAUGGCCUGCGGCCCCUCUAGAUUGCCUGCCUACAGAGUUCACUCUAAACAGCCCCUCCCCUCCACACCCCAGCAGAUCCAUUCCUGACGCCCUCACUGGCAGGCUCCAGCCCCACAGAGCUUUCUAGACAUAAAAGAGCAGGGUCAUGGCAUCAUUGGUGACACAAUUUUAGUAAUAAGCUUCAAAACCCAUCACUCCACUGAAUCCAGGGAUGCCAGAAUUGAGAGUCCAUAGGACCCGUUUAACGGAUCCCACAUUCAGUAGACGGUUUUUUGUAUGCUUCGAGGGAAGGAAGGUAUUUUCAAAUGCAACUUCUUUUUUUUUUUUCUUGCUCUAGUUAGGGCUGAUUUUACCACUGGGCAAAUUGCAUACAUUUGGAUCCAUGCCACGCUAAAAACUGUUUAUUUUGGAGAUCUGUCAGAGGCAAGCACAUGGAAGACAAGGGGAUUCUGGUUUGAAAAGGCAAUUCUCAUCCAGACAGAUUCAGAUGGAGAGGAGCGGUGUGGAUUAAAAUGCGCCGAAGUGACAGGGUCUCACCCUGUCACGUAGGCUGGAGUGCAGUGGUGAGAUCACGGCUCACUGCAGCCUCGACUUCAUGGGCUCAAGCGAUUCUCCUGCCUCAGCCUCCUAAGUAGUCGGGAUCAUAGGCACUUGCCACCACAUCCGGCUAAUUUUUUUGUAGAGACAGGAUUUCACCACAUUACACAGGCUGGUUUCAAACUCCGAGGCUCAAGUGAUCUGCCUGCAUCGGCCUCCCAAAGCGCUGAGAUUACAAGCGUGAGCCACUACGCCUUGCCCUCCACACAGCCUUGCUUGGUGUUAAAGAUUAAACAAAGACCACAGGUGAUCACUGUCUUCGUGGUGCCAGUUUCAAGGGCACCCUUCUUCCCUUCCCAGCCUCCGAGAGAAGGAGAGAGGGUCCACAAGCCAGAUCCAUCCCCAUCCACACAGAAACAUGGAAAAAGAGCGAUGCUAUUAAGGAGGAAAAUGGAGCCAGGAGCAAAACCUAAGGCUAUUUCUGAACUAAAGAGGCCUGAAUAAGGUAGUGAAAGGACCAGGGAAAGCCUUCCCACGGGGAUGGAGAGCCACCUCCUCCCCGGCUUUCUGGUUCAGAUGUCUUGUCUCAACAGACGGCAGAUUCGCAGGGAAGCAGGCCGAGCCUGAUCUUUUCUCCGCUAGAACUGCUCAACAGGUGAAGAAUCUUUUUCCAGCACUCCUGAGCCCUUCGGGUCGCGGAACAGUGCGAAGAUUAUUCCAAUGCCUCAUUCGGAGAGGUGAUAAUCUGGUCUGUGGUUUCUUUUUCGGUGGGGCAUGGGGUGGGGGUGAGUGUCAUGCUUUCUAAGGCACAGGGCUGACUAAAGGGUGUCCUAUUUAUAAGUCAGUAAAACACAGCGGCUUCAUACUCUGUGCUUAUUACCCAGAAGCCCCGGCUCUUAGAGUUUCUAUUAAGAUGUACCUCAUAAAUAUAUACGCCUCCUAUGUACCCACAAAAAUUAAAAAUAAAAAAAUUGAAAU